UAUACCUACGGGAGGCAGCAGUGGGGAAUAUUGGGCAAUGGGCGCAAGCCUGACCCAGCAACGCCGCGUGCGGGAUGGAGGCCUUCGGGUUGUAAACCGCUUUUGUUCAAGGGCAAGGCACGGUCUUUGGCCGUGUUGAGUGGAUUGUUCGAAUAAGCACCGGCUAACUACGUGCCAGCAGCCGCGGUAAUACGUAGGGUGCAAGCGUUAUCCGGAUUUAUUGGGCGUAAAGGGCUCGUAGGCGGUUCGUCGCGUCCGGUGUGAAAGUCCAUCGCUUAACGGUGGAUCCGCGCCGGGUACGGGCG
RNAcentral lists this ribosomal RNA (305 nucleotides) under uncultured bacterium. RNAcentral's name for it is "bacterial SSU rRNA". It matches the Rfam family "Bacterial small subunit ribosomal RNA", at positions 334 to 638 of the family's 1533-position model. The record is from RNAcentral.